This 451-nucleotide ribosomal RNA is filed under the name uncultured bacterium. RNAcentral's name for it is "partial 16S ribosomal RNA". It matches the Rfam family "Bacterial small subunit ribosomal RNA", at positions 339 to 795 of the family's 1533-position model. The record is from RNAcentral.
CUACGGGAGGCACCAGUCGAGAAUCUUCCGCAAUGGGCGAAAGCCUGACGGAGCGACGCCGCGUGCGGGAUGAAGGCCUUCGGGUUGUAAACCGCUGUCAGUGGGGAGCAAAUCCGGGAAACCGGUUGAGCUAUCCGCAGAGGAAGCGCAGGCUAAGUUCGUGCCAGCAGCCGCGGUAACACGAACUGCGCGAACGUUAUUCGGAAUCAUUGGGCUUAAAGAGUUCGUAGGCGGCCUAGUAAGUCGGGUGUGAAAUCCCUCGGCUCAACCGAGGAACUGCGCCCGAUACUGUUAGGCUUGAGGGAGACAGAGGUGAGCGGAACUGAUGGUGGAGCGGUGAAAUGCGUUGAUAUCAUCAGGAACACCGGUGGCGAAAGUGGCUCACUGGGUCUCUUCUGACGCUGAGGAACGAAAGCUAGGGGAGCGAACGGGAUUAGAUACCCUAGUAGUC